Long non-coding RNA from Camelina sativa (false flax), 418 nucleotides. RefSeq lists it as uncharacterized. The record is from RefSeq and is a predicted model, not a curated record. Lineage: Eukaryota; Viridiplantae; Streptophyta; Magnoliopsida; Brassicales; Brassicaceae.
AUGUUAAAUCACACAAACACCAAACAUAAGAACAAAGAGGAAAGAAAAAUGACAAAGUCAUUCACUCUCGUUGCUCUCCUGUGCAUCUGCUUCCUUCUCCAUUCUCCAACUGGAUUGAAAGUAGCGGAGGCUAAAAUAUGCCAAAGGUACAGUCAAACGUGGUCAGGGAGGUGCACGCUGACGAGCCACUGCGACCGCCAAUGUAUCAAAUGGGAAGACGCUCGCCAUGGAGCAUGCCAUCAGGACAAACGUGGCCGCGCUUGUUUCUGUUAUUUCAACUGCAAGAAUUAAGCGUUAUGAUGAGAGCGGUUUAAACCCCGUUUGUGAAACUCUCUAGCUAUUUUGCAUUGUCUCUGAGCAGGCUUUCGUUUUGUUUUGUUGUUUCGUCGAAAUAAUAAAGUUCUGGAUCUAUCAUCUA